RNAcentral lists this long non-coding RNA (1134 nucleotides) under Homo sapiens (human). Its description in RNAcentral is "HSALNT0313508". Lineage: Eukaryota; Metazoa; Chordata; Mammalia; Primates; Hominidae. The record is from RNAcentral.
AAGGUACUGAAGUAGAGUUCUGGCUGUUCCUUACGGACAUCUCUGGUGAAUAAUCUGAGAAGGCCUCACUUAUAAUUUGGCUUGAAGAAAACACGAGAGCAAGUCAUGCAAUGUUCAAGUAAGAGUGCAGCAGUCAGAAGAAAAAGCUAUGCAAGGGCCCUAAGGUUGAAAGUGUUCUUAGUGUCUUUGAGAAACAUCAAGGAAUGUGCAAAAGGCAGAAUGAUAGAAGAUGAGAUCAGAGAGGGGAAGUAAAUUCAACAACAGAAAUUGAGGAUGAGGAACAUGGUGUUGCAGUUCAAACCAGUUCCAGCCAAAAUGGACUCUAGUCACAAACAAAUAGUAAUAACAAUCCAAACUUGUGGCUGAAUAGAGUUCUGAAGUUUUGAGAAAGAGGUGAUUCAGCUCAAAAGUUUUGUUUAGAAUCUACUUCCUAGUACCCACCAGCUUAGGCUGAGUUUCCCAGAAUCAGAUCUGUGUUGGAGAUUUGUGUGUAUGAUGUUUAUUGGGGAGCUUCCCCAGAAACAACACCUUUAAGUACAGGAAACAAUUGAACAGGGACAAAAAUCCUACAGUGAUAAAAUUAUAACAGAAGUCGUAGGUAAUCCUUUGGGGCUCUCUGGAGCUAAAACAGCUUUUCCAAAUUGUCUAUAAAUUGAUGCAAGAGGAACACAUCUUCAUACUUCACGUUAAACAGUCACUGGGCACAGGCUACCCUAGGAGAAAGCUUGUAAACUUGGAUGAAGUAGGUUCCUUUGACAGAAAGCAAUUCCAGAAGAGAGAUGUACCUAUGAGAUAACAGUAGCCAGCACUCCCAGAAGCUCACAAGUGACUGCCUUUGUCCUGACAGAGGUAUCUGAACAGUGCACUAUGCCAUCCACUACAACCCAUUUCUACGUUUAUCUGUUUAUUUUAAGACAAUAAUUAGAAUAAGCUCCAAGAGAACAGAGACCUUGUCUAUCUCAUACAUUGAUAUCCCCAGAAUUUACAACAGCUCAGUAUUUACUCAAUAAGUAUUUGUUGACUAAGUGAUUGAACUGAAUGAGUAAUUAAAGUAUAUUUAUAGGUGCCACAUUUUGUAAACUAUCACUUGGCAUAUCACAGAGAAUACUAAUAAAUGAAAACACAGAUUGGGAA